CUUCAGCGUGCGAAACUAGAAGCUGAAAGAGGACAGCUAUCCGGGAACAUUGAGAAGAAAGUUCUCGAUGUCAUGAUCGCAGCACUCACAGACACAAUCGGUGAUCACCCGGAGCUCUUGCAGUCCAGAGACGGGAUUUCCGCUAAUCCAGCUACAAGAAUUAUGCGACAAUUUGGCGAAAGCACACCAUCCACGGCCAUGAAUCGGGCCAUUCUUUCCGCCUACAAACACGAGCUGCUAAAGGGACCUCCCCACCAUUAAGCUUCAUAAUAACAUUCUUACCGCUCAAAUACUCCUAUUUCGGACCAAUGUUUUGUUCAAUCCAUUAAUUUACAGUGUUAAUUCUGAUGUAUUCUUAAAAUUUCCAAUCACUUUAGGUUGUAUUGACAUUUACGAUUUUGUAUAUUAAUAAAAAAACAAAUUGAUUUAUAACUUUGUCUAAGACGUUAAAUUGUUAUUUUUAUAUAAACACCGAGUUAUUUUAUAUUUUCAAUAAUUUAACUAUUCAGUAAGUUAUAACAAUUGUAUGUUUGUUAUAAUUUUCUUUGGUAUUUUUUUUAAAUUUAAUUAUGCGUCAGAUUUAACAUCAAUCCACAGUUAAACAUCAUUUUCUAUAUUUUUAAACAUACACUUAUAAACUAUAUUGGCUUCUAUUUGGUCACAAAAAAAAAUUAGAUAUUAAAUUAGAUUUUUUUUGUUAAAAAGAUACUAUCCUUUUAAUAUAGCCAAAUUAUAUUUAGAUUGUGGAGUUCUGUCCUGCUUUGAAUCGAAGCAGAGAGAGUAUAUAUUUAAAUAAUUAUGGAACUCUAUAGUAAAUCAAAUUCUGUACUAUAUAUUAUUUAAAACAAAGAAUAGCGCCCUCUAUUGGCAAUCUAUAAAAUUGAGGAUUCUUGAAACUUUUAUAAACUUUCAGCCAUACUGUUGUAUUAUAUUUCCUCGCUCAAGCUUGCAAUAUAAGCCUUUCAUACAAAACAUAUAUUGUACCUGAAAAGAAUCCCACAGAGCACCACAUGACAGUACGUGGUGACAUAUUCUAAUAACUAUUUACCCAAAUAUUUCUUGUGUAUGUCAUAGUAGAUAAAUUUUACGAUGUAUGUAGGAAUAUCUCAGUAUCUAGAUAUUAUAAUUAUAAUCGCUAUAUCUCUUUGAUAUCAUCAAAAUAUCACAUAAUAAUGCAAAAUAUCGUGUUUUGAAUAUUACUAUUUGAUCGUGAAUAAACUAAACUCUUCAUUAAUAGAAAUUAUAAAUAUAUUCUAUAUGAUUUUAGAAUAGUAAAACAUGUUAAUUUUGUGAACUCAAUUAUUUAAAAAAAAAUCUAGCAAACGUAAAAGCAAUGACGGUUUGGUUUGGUUGUGGUUGGUUAAUAGCAUCUCUAGUCCAACGUUGUCACGAAACAUAACAUAACAGCAAAGGAGUAAAACUCCCACUUCAAUCAUUCUUAAACAUUCAUUCGUGCUCUUCGAUAGACCCCAACAUCAGAUGUGAUUGUAGCUAAAUGUGUCUGUCCAGUUCAGUAUAAAAAAAAUCAUAAUUUUUUUAUAAAAUUGUAAUAUUGCAAUAUCAACACGUAUUGAUGGGUUUUGAGAUAGUUGUGUAUCGUAAUACAACAAUAUGUUCAUUUUCGUCGAUUUGCCUAAUCACAAUCAAACGUUUUCGUCUUUUUGACGUUUUCAAAUCAGUACGGCUUUUCGGUUUUUAAUACCGGGUAUGUUUAGAUUUAUUACCAAAAUAACUGGUUCGCAAAGAUGAAAAACCUACAAAUUACGUAAACCUAACCUACUAAUUUAAUAAAAUAUUUAUGUAUAUCUACUUUUUUAAUUGUUUUCAUUUUUUCGUUCAGCGUUAAUUACCAAUUUAGUAUUAAUUAUUUUGUUAUCAGUCUCUACAUACCCGACAAUAUCUUUUUUUAUACAUUAACCUUCUACUCAUCCGUACUUAGAGUUGAUAUUUUAUAAAUGUUAAGACACUAUAGUCUUUUGUUUCUGCGAGUAUGAGAUUUAAACAACCUUUUUCAUUAUUUAUUAUUUGAUAGGUUUGAUUUUGAAUAUGAUUGAAAUGUUUAUUAAAGGACAUCUAUUGCCGAGAACAUGGUAUCACUUGACGUAAUGUAAAUAAUUUAAUCAUUUUGGGUUUAUUGAAAGAAUUUUAAUUGGAAACUUAAUAGACAGUCACAGACAAGUCAGCCGUUACCAAAUCAUAUGUAGCCAAGUCCCAAUCAUAAUUUACUGGACAACUCUUAGUACGGUAUACUUUUCAUACUUUUAGUUUUCCUAUAACCGAUAUUUUGCAAAUAGUCCUACAUAUUUAAGAAAGUCACGAUCAGACAUAUUAAGACUUGUAAAUUGUAAUUUGGUAUAAGCUGCAUUAGUGAUCUGCAAAAUUUAAUAUAUUUGUAAUAUUCUUUGAAUUGUAUUAUGGAUUUAAUAAAAAAGAUUUGAUGUCA
Pieris napi is the source of this 2443-nucleotide long non-coding RNA. RefSeq lists it as uncharacterized. The transcript is spliced from 3 exons. The record is from RefSeq and is a predicted model, not a curated record. NCBI's taxonomy places the organism in Eukaryota, Metazoa, Arthropoda, Insecta, Lepidoptera, Pieridae.